CGUAGGUAACCUGCCUAUUAGAGGGGGAUAACUAUUGGAAACGAUAGCUAAUACCGCAUAACGGUAUGUAACACAUGUUAGAUGCUUGAAAGAUGCAAUUGCAUCGCUAGUAGAUGGACCUGCGUUGUAUUAGCUAGUAGGUAGGGUAAUGGCCUACCUAGGCGACGAUACAUAGCCGACCUGAGAGGGUGAUCGGCCACACUGGGACUGAGACACGGCCCAG
This 223-nucleotide ribosomal RNA is filed under the name uncultured bacterium. Its description in RNAcentral is "partial 16S ribosomal RNA". It matches the Rfam family "Bacterial small subunit ribosomal RNA", at positions 116 to 334 of the family's 1533-position model. The record is from RNAcentral.